RNAcentral lists this ribosomal RNA (428 nucleotides) under uncultured Chlamydiae bacterium. Its description in RNAcentral is "bacterial SSU rRNA". It matches the Rfam family "Bacterial small subunit ribosomal RNA", at positions 958 to 1385 of the family's 1533-position model. The record is from RNAcentral. Lineage: Bacteria; Pseudomonadati; Chlamydiota; Chlamydiia.
AACGCGAAGAACCUUACCUGGGCUCGAAAUGUAGAGGACGAUGCAAGAGAUUGCAUUUCCCGAAAGGGUCUCUAUAUAGGUGCUGCAUGGCUGUCGUCAGCUCGUGCCGUGAGGUGUUUGGUUAAGUCCAGCAACGAGCGCAACCCUUAUCGUUAGUUGCCAGCGCGUAAAGGCGGGAACUCUAACGAGACUGCCUAGGUUAACUAGGAGGAAGGUGAGGAUGACGUCAAGUCCGCAUGGCCUUUAUGUCCAGGGCUACACACGUGCUACAAUGGUCGGUACAGAAGGCAGCGAAGCCGCGAGGUGGAGCAAAUCCUAUAAAACCGAUCUCAGUUCAGAUUGCAUUCUGCAACUCGGAUGCAUGAAGUUGGAAUUGCUAGUAAUGGCGUGUCAGCAACAACGCCGUGAAUACGUUCCCGGGCCUUGUA